AUUGAACGUUGGCGGCAUGCCUUACACAUGCAAGUCGAACGGCAGCGCGGACUUCGGUCUGGCGGCGAGUGGCGAACGGGUGAGUAAUGUAUCGGAACGUACCAUUCAGUGGGGGAUAACGCAGCGAAAGUUGCGCUAAUACCGCAUAUUCUGUGCGCAGGAAAGCAGGGGAUCGCAAGACCUUGCGCUGAUUGAGCGGCCGAUAUCAGAUUAGCUAGUUGGUGAGGUAAAGGCUCACCAAGGCGACGAUCUGUAGCGGGUCUGAGAGGAUGAUCCGCCACACUGGAACUGAGACACGGUCCAGACUCCUACGGGAGGCAGCAGUGGGGAAUUUUGGACAAUGGGCGCAAGCCUGAUCCAGCCAUGCCGCGUGAGUGAAGAAGGCC
RNAcentral lists this ribosomal RNA (386 nucleotides) under uncultured bacterium. Its description in RNAcentral is "bacterial SSU rRNA". It matches the Rfam family "Bacterial small subunit ribosomal RNA", at positions 30 to 416 of the family's 1533-position model. The record is from RNAcentral.